This 467-nucleotide ribosomal RNA is filed under the name uncultured bacterium. RNAcentral's name for it is "partial 16S ribosomal RNA". It matches the Rfam family "Bacterial small subunit ribosomal RNA", at positions 29 to 507 of the family's 1533-position model. The record is from RNAcentral.
ACGAACGCUGGCGGCGUGCUUAUCACAUGCAAGUCGCACGGAAAGGCCCUGCUUUUGUGGGGUGCUCGAGUGGCGAACGGGUGAGUAACACGUGAGUAACCUGCCCUUGACUUUGGGAUAACUUCAGGAAACUGGGGCUAAUACCGGAUAGGAGCUCCUGCUGCAUGGUGGGGGUUGGAAAGUUUCGGCGGUUGGGGAUGGACUCGCGGCUUAUCAGCUUGUUGGUGGGGUAGUGGCUUACCAAGGCUUUGACGGGUAGCCGGCCUGAGAGGGUGACCGGCCACAUUGGGACUGAGAUACGGCCCAGACUCCUACGGGAGGCAGCAGUGGGGAAUAUUGCACAAUGGGCGGAAGCCUGAUGCAGCAACGCCGCGUGCGGGAUGACGGCCUUCGGGUUGUAAACCGCUUUCGCCUGUGACGAAGCGUGAGUGACGGUAAUGGGUAAAGAAGCACCGGCUAACUACGUG